AGGUCGAACAGACCUUCUUUAUAUAACCUCUUCAUUAUAUAGAUUUUUUAAUUCAACAUCGAGGUCGCAACCUUCCUUUUCGAUAAGAACUCUUAAAGGAAAUUACGCUGUUAUCCCUAAAGUAACUUAACCUACUAAUCUUCAAAAAGGAUCUUCUACAAAUUUAUCACUAAUAAUUGUAUAACUAAUUAAGCAGUUAAAAUAAAUUUUACUUAUGUCUCCCCAACAUAACAAAUAAAUUAAAUUAAAUUUUUAUAUUAUAAAUUCACUAAAAUAUAACUACAAUGUAAAGUUUUAUAGGGUCUUAUCGUCCCCCUAGUUUAUUUAAGCCUUUUCACUUAAAAGUUAAAUUCAACAUUAAUAUAAAGAGAGUUAUUCUUUUGUCUAACCUUUCAUACAAGAUUCCAAUUAAAAACCUAAUGAUUAUGCUACCUUUGCACAGUUAUUAAUACUGCGGCCCUUUAAUUCAAAUAUCAGGGGGCAGGCCAAAUUAUUUAUAACUACAAACAAAC
Molecule: ribosomal RNA, 512 nt
Filed under: Geothelphusa sakamotoana
Lineage: Eukaryota; Metazoa; Arthropoda; Malacostraca; Decapoda; Potamidae
Description: partial 16S ribosomal RNA
Source: RNAcentral